UACGAAGGGUGCAAGCGUUACUCGGAAUUACUGGGCGUAAAGCGUGCGUAGGUGGUUUGUUAAGUCUGCUGUGAAAGCCCCGGGCUCAACCUGGGAAUGGCAGUGGAUACUGGCAAGCUAGAGUGCGGUAGAGGGUAGUGGAAUUCCCGGUGUAGCGGUGAAAUUCGUAGAUAUCGGGAGGAACACCAGUGGCGAAGGCGGCUCUCUGGGCAGAUACUGACGCUGAGACGCGAAAGCAUGGGGGAGCGAACAGG
Molecule: ribosomal RNA, 254 nt
Filed under: uncultured bacterium
Lineage: Bacteria
Description: partial 16S ribosomal RNA
Rfam family: Bacterial small subunit ribosomal RNA
Source: RNAcentral